CAGUAGCCACGGUAAUACGGAGGGAGCUAGCGUUGUUCGGAAUUACUGGGCGUAAAGCGCACGUAGGCGGCUUUGUAAGUUAGAGGUGAAAGCCUGGAGCUCAACUCCAGAAUUGCCUUUAAGACUGCAUCGCUUGAAUCCAGGAGAGGUGAGUGGAAUUCCGAGUGUAGAGGUGAGAUUUGUAGAUAUUCGGAAGAACACCAGUGGCGAAGGCGGCUCACUGGACUGGUAUUGACGCUGAGGUGCGAAAGCGUGGGGAGCAAACAGGAUUAGAUACCCCAGUAGUCCCUGUCUCUUAUAC
Molecule: ribosomal RNA, 301 nt
Filed under: uncultured bacterium
Lineage: Bacteria
Description: partial 16S ribosomal RNA
Rfam family: Bacterial small subunit ribosomal RNA
Source: RNAcentral